UGGGGAAUCUUCCGCAAUGGACGAAAGUCUGACGGAGCAACGCCGCGUGAACGAUGACGGCCUUCGGGUUGUAAAGUUCUGUUAUACGGGACGAAUGGUACGACGGCCAAUACCCGUCGUAAGUGACGGUACCGUAAGAGAAAGCCACGGCUAACUACGUGCCAGCAGCCGCGGUAAUACGUAGGUGGCAAGCGUUGUCCGGAAUUAUUGGGCGUAAAGGGCGCGCAGGCGGCGUCGUAAGUCGGUCUUAAAAGUGCGGGGCUUAACCCCGUGAGGGGACCGAAACUGCGAUGCUAGAGUAUCGGAGAGGAAAGCGGAAUUCCUAGUGUAGCGGUGAAAUGCGUAGAUAUUAGGAGGAACACCAGUGGCGAAAGCGGCUUUCUGGACGACAACUGACGCUGAGGCGCGAAAGCCAGGGGAGCAAACGGG
Molecule: ribosomal RNA, 429 nt
Filed under: uncultured bacterium
Lineage: Bacteria
Also listed under: 2 other names
Description: bacterial SSU rRNA
Rfam family: Bacterial small subunit ribosomal RNA
Source: RNAcentral